Molecule: small RNA, 88 nt
Organism: Vagococcus teuberi
Lineage: Bacteria; Bacillati; Bacillota; Bacilli; Lactobacillales; Enterococcaceae
Rfam family: BsrC
About the family: The 301 nucleotide sequence from Kouji Nakamura has been trimmed to a highly conserved ~85 nucleotide long core to form this family.
Source: Rfam
UCUCAUUUAAACGACACAAUCCCGAACCUCUAUUGCGUCCUUGUAGCCCUAUAGCUACGCCAGUUUGAAUAAAUUUCAUUAAAAUAUU